Molecule: ribosomal RNA, 497 nt
Filed under: uncultured bacterium
Lineage: Bacteria
Description: partial 16S ribosomal RNA
Rfam family: Bacterial small subunit ribosomal RNA
Source: RNAcentral
GACGAACGCUGGCGGCGUGCCUAAUACAUGCAAGUUGAGCGCUGAAGGUUGGUACUUGUACCAACUGGAUGAGCAGCGAACGGGUGAGUAACGCGUGGGGAAUCUGCCUUUGAGCGGGGGACAACAUUUGGAAACGAAUGCUAAUACCGCAUAAAAACUUUAAACACAAGUUUUAAGUUUGAAAGAUGCAAUUGCAUCACUCAAAGAUGAUCCCGCGUUGUAUUAGCUAGUUGGUGAGGUAAAGGCUCACCAAGGCGAUGAUACAUAGCCGACCUGAGGGGGUGAUCGGCCACAUUGGGACUGAGACACGGCCCAAACUCCUACGGGAGGCAGCAGUAGGGAAUCUUCGGCAAUGGACGAAAGUCUGACCGAGCAACGCCGCGUGAGUGAAGAAGGUUGUCGGAUCGUAAAACUCUGUUGGUAGAGAAGAACGUUGGUGAGAGUGGAAAGCUCAUCAAGUGACGGUAACUACCCAGAAAGGGACGGCUAACUACGUG